Molecule: long non-coding RNA, 1058 nt
Organism: Myotis daubentonii (Daubenton's bat)
Lineage: Eukaryota; Metazoa; Chordata; Mammalia; Chiroptera; Vespertilionidae
Exons: 6
Source: RefSeq, a predicted model, not a curated record
CUCCGCCUCCCGCUCCGGGCCGAGCGUCCUCGGCGCCGCCUCCUCCGGCCUCCCGGCCCGGCCUUCCCCGCUGACUGACAGCAGGACCUCCUCCCGCGGCCGUCCGGGCCUGGGAAGCGGCGCGGAGGCGGCUCGGCCCUGCCCAGCGCGCGGCCCCCGGACUCCGGCGGGGGAGCGGGGGAGCGGGGGAGGGGCCGGCGGCGGCCCGGCGACGCGCGAGGGCUCCCGGCCCAGCGCCAGGGCGGAUAACGGGGCCGUGGCUGUGGGAUAACGGGACCGGGAGGCGGAUAACGGAGCCGGCGGGGCGGGGUGGGAGAGCAGAAAAGGGGCGAGGCCGCGGGUAACGGACUUCGCGGAGCGGAUGAGCAGCUGGGGUCGGUCUGGAGAUCCGUGUGACCCCAGAGCGCCCUUCCCGGGACCCGGGGCCGGAGGUCUGACGGGGCGCAGGAAAUUCCCGGGGGUCCCGCCUCCCGCGGGGAGAGGAAUCAUCUUUUGAAAGAAUUGAAAAAGACACAAAAACUGCUGCUUCAGGCUCCAGGUCUACAAUCUGUCCACCUGCUCCACCCCAAAGAACUGGCAGAAGCUCCUGCUAACCUGAGUCUGCUGCCGAGAGAUCAGUAGAAGAACAUCCCAUUGUCCUGGAAGGCAGGGGCCAGAACUUGAACAUGGUCUCUCGAGAAACAAGUCACCAAAUUCAAUUCUCACUGGGGGAGAAGAAGAUGACACAAGAACACCUGGGAGAACCGAGGUGCGGUCGCUUACCACCAGCAAGCUGUGAUUUUCAGGUUUUUACAGGAAAGGAUCAUUGAUGUGGGCUUGAAACAUGGCGCCUAUGAAUGGGAUGUACACUCGGCGGGCCUGGAAAGAACUUUCCUCUGACAGCUGGAGACAGCCUUCUGUGUGGCAGGUGCCACUGACCUGAGUAAUUCUGGCGCUGGAGAGCAAAGCAAUCGGUGACCGAGGUCGGGACUGCAAGCAACUUCCAAAUGUUGAAAGGUAACCCAAACUUCUGUAAUGACGAGAUCCCCAAACUGCGUAGUGGCUCAAACUCAAGAGAA